This 898-nucleotide long non-coding RNA is filed under the name Gallus gallus (chicken). Its description in RNAcentral is "long non-coding RNA NONGGAT001014". The record is from RNAcentral. Lineage: Eukaryota; Metazoa; Chordata; Aves; Galliformes; Phasianidae.
UCGGCCGCCAAGCGCCGCUCGGGGCUCUGCGUGCGUCCCCGGAGCGGAGCGGCGGUCCCGGGGACCCCCACCCGACCCGGCCCCUCCAUACUGGAGCCUCCCCCGCCCUAAGGCCGCUAUCCCGCGGUGCAGGCCCGUGGCCCGGCCCGGCCUUGUUGUGGUGCGGCCCGGCGGGCCCCGCUCUGCCGCCGGCCUGGCCGAGGCGUCCCGGGGUGCGGAUAUGGGGGGAUUUUGGGGCGCGGAGAUGGAGCGAUGGGUGUUAGGGGGCCUCGGGCUUCGGGUGGUCUUGUGUCAGCGGGUAUGGCUGCACCCUGCAAGUAUUACUAACAGUAAUAACAACAGUUAAGCAGAGGGGCCCCAGAUUUUGGUGGGGAAAGUGGCUCCCACACGAAUUGGGAACGGUGCUACCCCCAGGGCUACUGGCACUUUUGUAAAAGGCAGCUGUGGUGCCUUGGCCCAGUGCUGCUCAUGCAAGGAGACAGAAAUGGGGGAAAAAGAAAGUGGGGAAAGGGUCUCCUUUCAUAGACUGCAGAACGUUUGGAGGAAUGUUCUGUCAAAAGCGAUGUGCUUGGCUGGCAGUGUUUUCUGCUCCUUGUCCUAAAAGUUAAUCAGAUUUUCUUUUGUUUUUCAAGAAAACAGUCACUGUUGAUCCAUGAGAGAUGCAGCCUAGAGUGUUCCAGCUAUUAGAAAUUACACACCACAAGCAGCCCUAUGGCAACAAGGAGGAUCAAACAGACCUCUUUGUGAGCUGUUGGUACAUGCGAUGAAGGUGAAAGGACUGGUAAUUCAACCUAAUGUUUCUGGAGGACAGCCUGAGAGAUCCUGAAAAAGAAGGUCUAGGGAAGACCCAAACAGUUAAAAGGUAUUUUUAUUCUCUUCUUGGCUAAAGAAGUUGCAC